Molecule: non-coding RNA, 26 nt
Filed under: Cricetulus griseus (Chinese hamster)
Lineage: Eukaryota; Metazoa; Chordata; Mammalia; Rodentia; Cricetidae
Source: RNAcentral
CUGAGGAGAGGAGGAUGUGAUGGAGG